GACGAACGCUGGCGGCGUGCUUAACACAUGCAAGUCGAACGCUGAAGACCUGGCUUUUGUUGGGUUGGCUGAGUGGCGAACGGGUGAGUAACACGUGAGUAACCUGCCCUCUUCUUUGGGAUAACGCCCGGAAACGGGUGCUAAUACUGGAUAUUCACUGAUCUUCGCAUGGGGGUUGGUGGAAAGGUUUGUUCUGGUGGGGGAUGGGCUCGCGGCCUAUCAGCUUGUUGGUGGGGUGAUGGCCUACCAAGGCUUUGACGGGUAGCCGGCCUGAGAGGGUGACCGGUCACAUUGGGACUGAGAUACGGCCCAGACUCCUACGGGAGGCAGCAGUGGGGAAGAUAGCACAAUGGGCGAAAGCCUGAUGCAGCGACGCCGCGUGAGGGAUGGAGGCCUUCGGGUUGUAAACCUCUUUCGCUCAUGGUCAAGCCGCAACUGUGGGUUGUGGUGAGGGUAGUGGGUAAAGAAGCGCCGGCUAACUACGUG
RNAcentral lists this ribosomal RNA (486 nucleotides) under uncultured bacterium. Its description in RNAcentral is "partial 16S ribosomal RNA". It matches the Rfam family "Bacterial small subunit ribosomal RNA", at positions 28 to 507 of the family's 1533-position model. The record is from RNAcentral.